CAGCAGCCGCGGGAAUACGUAGGUCCCGAGCGUUGUCCGGAUUUAUUGGGCGUAAAGGGAGCGCAGGCGGUUUAGUAAGUCUAAAGUUAAAGGCAUUGGCUCAACCAAUGCAUGCUUUGGAAACUGUUAGACUUGAGUGCAGAAGGGGAGAGUGGAAUUCCAUGUGUAGCGGUGAAAUGCGUAGAUAUAUGGAGGAACACCGGUGGCGAAAGCGGCUCUCUGGUCUGUCACUGACGCUGAGGCUCGAAAGCGUGGGUAGCGAGCAGGAUUAGAUACCCGUGUAGUCCCUGUCUCUUAUACA
This 301-nucleotide ribosomal RNA is filed under the name uncultured bacterium. RNAcentral's name for it is "partial 16S ribosomal RNA". It matches the Rfam family "Bacterial small subunit ribosomal RNA", at positions 509 to 808 of the family's 1533-position model. The record is from RNAcentral.